RNAcentral lists this transfer RNA (85 nucleotides) under candidate division WWE3 bacterium RBG_16_52_45. Its description in RNAcentral is "tRNA-Leu". It matches the Rfam family "tRNA". Rfam says of the family: Transfer RNA (tRNA) molecules are approximately 80 nucleotides in length. Their secondary structure includes four short double-helical elements and three loops (D, anti-codon, and T loops). Lineage: Bacteria; candidate division WWE3. The record is from RNAcentral. RNAcentral also lists the same sequence under 1 other name.
GCGGAGAUGGCGAAAUUGGUAGACGCGCAGUCUUGAGGAGGCUGUGCCGAAAGGCUUGAGGGUUCAAGUCCCUCUCUCCGCACCA